Long non-coding RNA from Photinus pyralis (common eastern firefly), 804 nucleotides. RefSeq lists it as uncharacterized. The record is from RefSeq and is a predicted model, not a curated record. Lineage: Eukaryota; Metazoa; Arthropoda; Insecta; Coleoptera; Lampyridae. The transcript is spliced from 2 exons.
GAUAUGCAUUAUUAUCGGUUCCUCUAAAAUCCUUAUAUACAACUACUUUAUGUCACUAUAUAUUUCUCAUAAUUGCAUAUGUAUAAGUUCAUAAUUGCAUAUGUACUAAAAAUAGAACCGCCCAUCUCGUUUAUUUGAAAAACAAUUAAUACAGGAACUUGAUCCACCCCUAUGACGAGAUAUGUGCGAUAUUUAUAAAACGGGAUGAAAUAAACUUGUAAAAUACCUGAAGUCAUUGGCAAGUUCAGGCAACGUUACUUAACGACAGAUCCCUUUGCUGAUACAAAUAUUCUGCACGAGCAUGAAUAAGGUUUUCGUUUGUAUUUAAAGUAUCUAUACCUUCAUAUUCACAAGGCAUUAUUUGUAGCAUAAUGGAUUAUCGGAAGCCCCAUUUGAAGAUUAUGCUAGGUAUAACCUAUAAGUUUCAGCCUUUUACGAAGAGAAAUAUGUUUCGUACAACAUAUGUCGUAUUGUCGAAAUUGUGCCACGAUACAAAACAAUAACAUAUUGUAAACUCGUUGACAAUAAAGGAUACAAAUUGUCGUAGCACUUAACCAUAGUUUUGCAUGAUUGAUUUUAAGAAUUGAUAAUUCGUAACAGGUCUUACAUACUAGGCAUUGACCAAAUUACUUAAAUAGAUGGCUACAAUAUGUACGUUAACUAAUAAAAAACACCUCUUGCCCUUAAAUUUGCAAUAAAACUAUGCUUUCAUUGCUUAAACUUCGUUUCUAAAAGAGGAAGAAACUUCUUGGAUGCAGGUCAGAGAAGCGUAACGAAGUCUUUGAAAAAUUAGAUUAUGUAUGC